This 468-nucleotide ribosomal RNA is filed under the name uncultured bacterium. Its description in RNAcentral is "partial 16S ribosomal RNA". It matches the Rfam family "Bacterial small subunit ribosomal RNA", at positions 28 to 507 of the family's 1533-position model. The record is from RNAcentral.
GACGAACGCUGGCGGCGUGCUUAACACAUGCAAGUCGAACGGAAAGGCCCUGCUUUUGUGGGGUGCUCGAGUGGCGAACGGGUGAGUAACACGUGAGUAACCUGCCCUUGACUUUGGGAUAACUUCAGGAAACUGGGGCUAAUACCGGAUAGGAGCUCCUGCUGCAUGGUGGGGGUUGGAAAGUUUCGGCGGUUGGGGAUGGACUCGCGGCUUAUCAGCUUGUUGGUGGGGUAGUGGCUUACCAAGGCUUUGACGGGUAGCCGGCCUGAGAGGGUGACCGGCCACAUUGGGACUGAGGUACGGCCCAGACGGCUACGGGAGACAGCAGUGGCGAAUAUUGCACAGUGGGCGGAAGCCUGAUGCAGCAACGCCGCGUGCGGGAUGACGGCCUUCGGGUUGUAAACCGCUGUCGCCUGUGACGAAGCGUGAGUGACGGUAAUGGGUAAAGAAGCACCGGCUAACUACGUG